Molecule: ribosomal RNA, 335 nt
Filed under: uncultured eukaryote
Lineage: Eukaryota
Description: SSU rRNA
Rfam family: Eukaryotic small subunit ribosomal RNA
Source: RNAcentral
AUAGCGUAUAUUAAAGUUGUUGCAGUUAAAAAGCUCGUAGUCGAAGUUCUGGCUGGCCCUGUUUCCGGCUCCGGUCGACUCAGGGCCUAGUCAUCCGUCGGAGAACCCUUGUCGUCCUUCACUGGUCGCUUGGGGGAACUGACCCUUUACUUUGAAAAAAUUAGAGUGUUUCAGGCAGGCUCUCGCCCGAAUACUCCAGCAUGGAAUAAUGGAAUAGGACUUUCUUCUAUUUUGUUGGUUAUUAGUGGAAAGUAAUGAUUAAUAGGGACAGUUGGGGGCAUUCGUACUUAAUUGUCAGAGGUGAAAUUCUUGGAUUUAUUAAAGACGAACUAAUG